RNAcentral lists this long non-coding RNA (1356 nucleotides) under Equus caballus (horse). RNAcentral's name for it is "lncRNA (ENSECAG00000052958.1)". Lineage: Eukaryota; Metazoa; Chordata; Mammalia; Perissodactyla; Equidae. The record is from RNAcentral.
AAACAUUAGAGCUGGAACAGAUGGCCUCACUAUGCUAUGAGGUGUGCUAAAAGAGAGCCUAAACAAUAUAACUUCUACUGGUGUGCCACACUGCUUGGAAUGCCGCCAUCACAGCCAUCCCUUUGGGCAAAAGAAACUAUCAACAAAAUGAAAAGGCAACCUGUGGAAUGGGAGAAAAUAUUUGCAAACCACACAUCUUAUAAGGGGUGAAUAUCCAAAAUAUAUAAGGAACGCAUAUAGCUCAGUAGCAAAAAACCAAACAAUCCUAUUAAAAAAUGGGCAAAGGACAUGAAUAGACAUUUUUCCAAAGAAGACAUUCAAAUGGCCAACAAGCACAUGAAAAGAUGCUCAACAUCACUGAUCAUCAGGGAAAUGCAAAUCAAAACUACACUGAGAUAUCAACUCACACCUUGGGAAUGACUAUCAUGAAGUAGACAAGAAGGAAAAAGAAGGAAAUCCUGCCAUUUGUGACAACAUGGAUGGACCUUGAGGGCAUUAUUCUAAAUUAAAUAAGUCAGGCAAAGACAAAUAUUGUAUGAUCUCACUUACAUGUGGAAUCCAAAAAAAACACACUCACAGAAACAGAGAACAGAUCGGUGGUUGCGAGAGGCGGGGGAUGAGAAUGAGGAAAUUGAGUGAGGGUGGUGUUCUACCACAAGCCCAGCUGGGCUAGGGCAGCAGGAUAUCGUGCUGAGAGACUGAAGAAAUGACCCGGAGACUGUAAACGAGACAUAGAGGUUAUUGGGACUGACUUACAAGGAGAAUGUCCAGUGGCAACCGGCUGGAUAGAAGUAUGCACCCGCAACCGCCCCCUAAGAGAAGCUUGGUUAAGUAGGCAGAGGAACAAAGGCUGCAUGCUUGCCAAAGGGCUGUCCUUGGUACGACCAGUGUUCCCAGGAAUGGUAGCUCACAUGGAGGGGCCUUGUGUCCCUGUAAGACGUGAUGUUCUUCAUGUGAGAUAAGGGAGGAUCCAGGCUGGCCAGGCCCAGAUCGUUACAAAUCCCAGUAGCUGGGCUGCCUGCCCAGAAGGGAGCCAGAGGGCACAUGGUUGCAAUGGGCCUGGGGGUUUCUGCUGAGCAAGCAAGACCCAGGCCCUACAGGGUCGGCAGAAGUUACAAACUUCCAGUUAUAAGAUGGGUAAGUCCUGGGCGUGUAAUGUACAUCAUAAUGACUAUAGUUAACAAUAUUGUAUUGUAUAUUUGACAGUUACUAAGAGAACUUAGAAGUUAUAAGAAAAGGUAAUUUGUAAUAUGGUAAUCAUUUUGCAAUAUAUACAUUUAUCAAAUCAUUAUGUUGUGUAUCUUAAAUGUAUACAAUGGCAUAUGUCAAUUAUAUUUCAAUAAAACUGGAAAAAAU